Aspergillus glaucus CBS 516.65 is the source of this 94-nucleotide small nucleolar RNA. It matches the Rfam family "A. fumigatus snoRNA Afu_263". The record is from Rfam. Lineage: Eukaryota; Fungi; Ascomycota; Eurotiomycetes; Eurotiales; Aspergillaceae.
CGUUAUGAUGAUUACCAUAUAUCAAAUGCAUAGUUCAACUGAAAUCUUCGGAUUGCUGAACGAAAACAUAUACCAUCUUUCACCUUGUCUGAUA